GAACGUUUUGCAUUAACAUAAACUCCUCAUCGACCUAAAUCCUCAUCAGCAUAAGAUCUUCAUGUCAUAGGAUUACUGCCACCCUCCCAGUCAUCUGAUACUUCCUCCGAUUAUAAGAUCCUCUUCAAUUUAGGAUUAUUGCUGCCCUCUGAGUCAUCUGAUACUCCCUAUGAACCCAAUAUACAGUGGCAAGCUCAGAAUGUCUUUAUCUCUGCCAGCUCUGAAGCACUGACACCCCUCCCCCCAUACUUUGGAACUAUGUGAGCCUCUAUUGUCUUUUCUUUAGCCCUCACUUUCCCCUUUCCAGGCAGUUGGAGGAUUGAUCGGCCUCCGAUAAUAGUCAACAUCUAGUCCUGGUCCUAGUCCCUGGUCUAGGGCCAGGAACCAAGAGGAGAGGAUCCACAGCUAAGGUCCCAGAUGGAUUUUGUUUAUCUUCCUCUGAAAAUCGAUGUUCUUCAGCAGGGGCUGGGCCCUGGAACUAAACUUUGAUUGGACUAAGCUAAUCAAGACCCGUCAAGUGAUUGUUGAGACUUUGCCUACUACAGGAGAGGCGAGGCCGGAACCGUGCUAAGAUCUUGGCACAGUGAGACUUUUGACACAGUGUGAGUGGUAGAAAAGCAAAAAGAAAAGAGCCUCAGACCUCGAUGAUGCCAUUGAGGCACUGAAUCAGCAAAGUUCUUCCUUUGCACCUUCAGCUGGGGUUUCUUUUAUUUGUUGCCAGAGCAUCCCAAUAAUUAUAGAGUGUUUGGGAUUUACUCUGUUGUAACUGGCAUCAAACAACCAGGGUUAGAAUCUCAACUAUAUUACCAGCUAGCUUUGUGACCUUGGAAGAGUUAUUUUCUCUCUAUGAGCCUAAUUUCUUAAAAUAAUGGAGAAUAAAAAACCUAUUUCCCAAAGUGGAAGUUGAACAUAAAAUAUGAAAAUUAUUAUUGCUAUCCAUAAUACUUAUUAAUAUUAGGUGAGAUAUAAUAAUAUCAGUACCAUAAUAAAGUUCCAUCAGGAGUGAUCUGCAGUGAGAAUGCUUCAAAGUCGACCUAUGUUUCCAGGAAAAUUGCUCAUCCUGACACAGCUGUACCCUGCCUGUUCUCCUAAUGGCACUUGGGGAAAAGCCGGUCUGGCUACAGUUUGGGGUGAGCAGUUCCUCAUUGGAUAUAAAAACAAAAGGGGGCAUAUUCCCAGCAUUUCAGUGCAAGUUUUGGGCUGGAACAUACAGUGAGUAACUUCUCUGGGUUUUUUUUUUUUUUUUUUUUUUUUUUUUUUUUUUUGCACCGAGAAGUAGACAGUUGCACAAAUUUUAGGUCAAAUGUUGUGUCUCUGAUGUGUGGAAGAAAAAUAAGUUUAAGUUUCCAAUUGUAUUGUAUCUGGGGAGUAUUGAUUCCCCAAGUAGAGCUUUGUAGAAGACCUUCUUCCAUCUCAUUCUUUUCAUCCCAUCUCAUUGUUUUCAUCCUCCUCACCCCCCUGUACGGGGCCACUGUCUUAGGAUCCUGGGACCAAAAUAUAGACUGGGUGGCUUAUGAACAACAGAGAUUUAUGUUCAUUUUACUGGUUUACUAGUUUGCUUUUAGUUUUAAUCUCUUAACGAUGUAAUCAACCAGGUGGUUAGGAAAACUUUCUAACACUUCUCAUGUAAACUCAAAUUCUAGGUUUUUCUUUGGAUAACAUAGGUUCUUUACUAUUUGCAAGGUUAUUCCCAAGCUGCAAAGUUCUCUCUUUAUAUUUUUUCCUGUAUUCUUCUAUUCACUUUUGGCUGCCAUACUCAGAUAAACAGAAAGCAUAAAUGCUGUUAUUUCAUGCAUCUGCAGUGGAACACUCAGCAGCAGACAGUAACUCCUCCAGGUCUGUUAAAUAGAAACAUCAGAACUUUAUAUCUCACAGUUCUGGAGGCUGGGAAACCUGAAACUAAGGUUCUUCCAUAGUUGCUUUCUAGUGAAGGCUCUCUUUAGGGUUACACGCUGCUGUCUUCUUGUAUCCUCACAGAGUGGAAGGAAAGUGAGAGAGCCCUCUGCGGUUCUUUAUAUAAAGGCAUUUGUCACAUUUGUGAGGUUUCCAACUACUUUCCCCCCGAAGGUCUCACCUAGGAUUUGUAAAGUAACCCCUAAACACUGCAAAGCCUGAGCAGCUUUACAGCUAUAGCUAGUUUUUCUCCCUUUUUGUUGCAAGAUUAAGGGCCAGAGGAGCAUUGCAUUUUGUAUGUAUUUGUGGUAGAAGCAGCCUCUCGUUUCUGACUGAAAAUAAGGAUGUUGUUAUUCUGAUGAAUAUGACAUCUAGGAGGUCUUUCUCAAGACUGUUUGUUGUGGAAGGCCUGGAGAGGACCAGAGUGCGGUUUGGGCUGCCUAAAUGAGGAGGGGGAGCCCAUGGGAUCCUUCCAUCCCAGAGCCUGUUAUUUUUUUUAAAGGAAGGUCAAGAAAGGAGGAGCU
This 2417-nucleotide long non-coding RNA is filed under the name Heterocephalus glaber (naked mole-rat). RNAcentral's name for it is "lncRNA (ENSHGLG00100047070.1)". Lineage: Eukaryota; Metazoa; Chordata; Mammalia; Rodentia; Bathyergidae. The record is from RNAcentral.